AUGGCGCUAGGAGUGAGGGGUGCUGGUGAUGUGAUGGCAUGGUGGAUGGAUAGAUGGAUGGAUUCGGGGAGGAGAAGGAGAUGGUGCUGGUGGUGCGUGGUGGAGAUGGAAUGGAUGGAUGGCUGGGUGGCGCACUGCUACGCCGGCCUGGCCGCGGCAGCGGCCGGAGGUGGAGAAGGAAGGGUGAGGGAGAGAGGUGAGAUGCCAGGCCCGAUUUGGGAAUCAGGGCGUCUAGGGAUUUUGACCUCCUAUGAUCUGCCAUUUUUUCACUUUGGCCCUCCUGCUUCCUUUCUUCUCAAGAUGAUCCUCCAACAUUAG
RNAcentral lists this ribosomal RNA (318 nucleotides) under Triticum aestivum (bread wheat). RNAcentral describes it as "partial small subunit ribosomal RNA". The record is from RNAcentral. Lineage: Eukaryota; Viridiplantae; Streptophyta; Magnoliopsida; Poales; Poaceae.